Molecule: small nucleolar RNA, 199 nt
Filed under: Torulaspora delbrueckii CBS 1146
Lineage: Eukaryota; Fungi; Ascomycota; Saccharomycetes; Saccharomycetales; Saccharomycetaceae
Description: Small nucleolar RNA snR34
Rfam family: Small nucleolar RNA snR34
Source: Rfam by way of RNAcentral
GAAUCAAAAACAUUUAAUUUUCAGGAAACAAUGCCACAGUUAACUACCUAGUUUUCCAACGGUGGUAAAUUGCCAGUGUUUCAUUAUAAUGAGAUACCAGUUUCCAAGAACAAAUCUUAUUGACAGGAUAGGAAGUCCAUUGUCUGAGUGUCCUCAAUGAGGGCUAUAGGCUAGGGAUGUCGAAAGAUAGUCAACAUUU